CGCGAGCACAGAGCGUUGCCGCGGUUACCAUGGCAACGUUACGCUCUUGCGAGAGUCAACUCUAGCCCUGGAGCUACGGGCUAGAGUUCACUCUCAACACUGUGACCACCAGGGAUUCCUGGUGGUCGCAGUGGUGAGAGUGAAUUCU
Molecule: non-coding RNA, 148 nt
Organism: Pelobates cultripes (western spadefoot toad)
Lineage: Eukaryota; Metazoa; Chordata; Amphibia; Anura; Pelobatidae
Source: the annotation of a GenBank genome assembly